UGACAAAGCGCCUUCCUCCGCUGCGAGGUCGCUGCUCUCAGCCCCGGUGGUGCCGAUGAGAGCGGGCGCGUGGUAGGCUGAGGCGCCGGCUGGCCUGCGCCUGGCAGUGCCCUGGUCACCUAGACCCCGAUUCCGGGCGACUUUCCUUCCCAGAGCGGCAGUAGCUUGAUGUCAGGGUGGGGCCGCUCCCCGGAACCGUUGUUGCACUGACUGAAAACAGAGCUUAAUCCCCCACCUCCCCCAUCCCAAGAGCUCCUGGUCUAAUGGAAGAGACAGAGGAGACAGGCGUUCAAUACACACAAGUCGAACCAAUCUUCCCUUUACAGGUUAAUGUACAUAAUCCAAAUACCACAUUCCAUCCAUCACAAAGGGUCAGUUUGGCAGCCCUCUCUGUGUCCAAGAGGAGCAGUGGAUGUUUGCCACAGGCCCUGGGCUGUAUCUGUCCAUCUUCAACAUGACAAGGUCAAACAUGGGCUGUACAAGUCAUCUCAUGUCACCCGCACAGACAGAAAAUGACAGAAAAACAUUCGCUGCAAAUGAAGAAGCUUGCUCAGACAGGUAAAGUGACUCACCCAAGGACACCCAGCUUCUGGGCCUGGCUAAUUCGAGAGCUUUCAAGAUUUCCCUUUUCCUAUCUUUCUCCCUCUGCCUUUUCCUCCUUCCUCAGCCUUUCAUAUCCACAGGACACCUACCCCUGUGGCCACCUGUUGGGAUUCUGCGUGUCCUUCAAGGCCCAGCUGAAAUGCUACCUCACCAGAAGGCCAUCCCAGGCAGUGGAGUCCAAAUGCCUCUCACCUCUGCAGCCUGGAAUUAUCCAUCAGAGUAUUCUAAUCAGCUGCCACAAAUAUCUCUUAGAUGGCGCUGGACCACAGAAGCCCACCCUUGCUGACCAUUCCCACUGGGCAGCUUUAGCCCCCUCACAUCGCUUGGCCUCAAAUCUUCAUUCAGACAAGCUGUGGGCCGAUUGCUGGACCGCUCUGAGCCUCAGUGUCCCCAUGUGUAAAAUAAACUGAUGAUGAUCCCUACUUUAUGGGACCCUGGGAAGGAUGAAAUGAGGUACAAUGUCGCCAGAAAGAUAGUAACUCUUAAGCAAUUACACACAGUAGUAGGUUUAUUGCAACCCAUACUGAUGUUGGCUGAGCACCACCACCUCUUUUUGCCCCAAUGGAUAAAUGGCCACCAGGGGUGGAAGUCAGUCUGGGCUCUCCGAGGAGGCUGUGGGCCGCCCGGCAGGGGGACAGGGACAUGAAUGAACAGGCUUGCAAAAUGAUUCUGGAGCCACAGAAUGUCAUCCAGUUUGGUAGUUUUGAACUCUUUUAAACAGGCACUUUUUUUUUCCUAAAGCAACCUCACAGAGACUCCCGAUGUCCAAAGUGCACGGGGCAGGCAGGGCUGCUCAGGUGGAGGCCUCAGCUUUCAUUCACUGGAGCAAGGACUGAUGUCUAAAGCUCAGCAAGCAGCCUACACAGUCUGCGGGGACCCGCGGCUCCCUCCCCAGAUGGGGCACUCUGUCUCUAUUAAAGCAGCUCAUGUCCCCAUCUACUUGUCAGGCAGCUGUGCCACGGAGCUGAGGUCAACCAAGGCCCCAGGGCUUUUGCACAAGGCUGCUGCCUGGUGCCACCUCCCCAGCUCAUUCCCUGACGGCUAGGCAUGGAUAGCUGUGUAGCCCCCGCCCCUCUCUGUGGAUGGCCCACUGCCCAUCUGGACACCCUUCCUAUGCCAGCUGAUCCCCUAGGCCCUAGGCUUCCAUCAUAUCACUGACCAAAGCACAGGGCAGUUUGAGUGGGGGUCAGAGGCCUGGGGGGUCUUUGGCUGGAAGGACGCGAGUUCUUAAGCAGCUCUACUACCCCAGUUCCUGCCACUACACCACCAUCCUGACAUCUGGCCCACAACCCUGCUCCUUCUCCAGAAGGUCCUGAACGACUUUCUCAAAGGCCUUUCAGAAUUCAAGACACGUGAUUUCUUCAUUCACUCAUUUCAAUGAAUUCCACGUGAUGAUGAUGAUAUAUUACCAGCAA
Symphalangus syndactylus (siamang) is the source of this 2018-nucleotide long non-coding RNA. RefSeq lists it as uncharacterized. The record is from RefSeq and is a predicted model, not a curated record. Lineage: Eukaryota; Metazoa; Chordata; Mammalia; Primates; Hylobatidae.